This is a small nuclear RNA of Dromiciops gliroides (monito del monte), 104 nucleotides long. The record is from RefSeq and is a predicted model, not a curated record. Lineage: Eukaryota; Metazoa; Chordata; Mammalia; Microbiotheria; Microbiotheriidae.
AUGCUUGCUUCGGUAGCACAUAUACCAAAAUCGGAACAAUGCAUAGAUUAGUAUAGCCCCUGUGCAAGGAUGACAUGCAAAUUCAUGAAGUGUUUCAUAUUAAA